UAUAAAGUGGCUGAGAAAAAUAGGCGGUGAAUUGUAAAUUCAUAAACAAGCUUCAAAUGCUUCUUUAUUA
This 70-nucleotide transfer RNA is filed under the name Longpotamon exiguum. RNAcentral describes it as "tRNA-Tyr". It matches the Rfam family "tRNA". From Rfam's summary of the family: Transfer RNA (tRNA) molecules are approximately 80 nucleotides in length. The record is from RNAcentral. Lineage: Eukaryota; Metazoa; Arthropoda; Malacostraca; Decapoda; Potamidae.